This 119-nucleotide ribosomal RNA is filed under the name Triticum dicoccoides. The record is from RNAcentral. Lineage: Eukaryota; Viridiplantae; Streptophyta; Magnoliopsida; Poales; Poaceae.
GGACGCGGUCAUACCAGCACUAAUGCACUGGAUCCCAUCAGAACUCCGAAGUUAAGCGUGCUUGGGCGAGAGUAGUACUAGGAUGGGUGACCUCCUGGGAAGUCCUCGUGUUGCAUUCC